CUUCCUAAGUGACCAAGAGGAACAGAACACAGAGCAGCCUGGCAGUGUCCAAGUCACAAGCCGCUGCUCCUCCUUCCUGUACCCUGGGGCUCGUGAAACUCACCGGAGAAGGAGGGUUUUCUGAGAAUUGAGGGAAAUAAACUCUCAGGACUUCCGGUCGCCAUGAUGGUUGUGGGCAAUCAACAGGGUCGCUGCAAGCAUCGGGGGCAUCUUUAAUGGUGAAAAAGAUACAGUAAAGAGAUAAAUACAACAUUUGACAAAUGGACAAAAAGGAGUGUCAUGAAAAGAGUAGCAGCAGUGAUGAAGAGCUGUCGAGACGG
Molecule: long non-coding RNA, 320 nt
Organism: Mandrillus leucophaeus (drill)
Lineage: Eukaryota; Metazoa; Chordata; Mammalia; Primates; Cercopithecidae
Exons: 3
Source: RefSeq, a predicted model, not a curated record